RNAcentral lists this ribosomal RNA (433 nucleotides) under uncultured bacterium. RNAcentral describes it as "partial 16S ribosomal RNA". It matches the Rfam family "Bacterial small subunit ribosomal RNA", at positions 29 to 507 of the family's 1533-position model. The record is from RNAcentral.
AACGAACGCUGGCGGCAUGCCUAACACAUGCAAGUCGAACGAGACCUUCGGGUCUAGUGGCGCACGGGUGCGUAACGCGUGGGAACCCGCCCUUAGGUUCGGAAUAACUCCCCGAAAGGGGUGCUAAUACCGGAUAAUGUCUUCGGACCAAAGAUUUAUCGCCUUUGGAUGGGCCCGCGUUGGAUUAGCUAGUUGGUAGGGUAAAAGCCUACCAAGGCGACGAUCCAUAGCUGGUCUGAGAGGGUGAUCAGCCACACUGGGACUGAGACACGGCCCAGACUCCUACGGGAGGCAGCAGUGGGGAAUAUUGGACAAUGGGCGAAAGCCUGAUCCAGCAAUGCCGCGUGAGUGAUGAAGGCCUUAGGGUUGUAAAGCUCUUUUACCCGGGAUGAUAAUGACAGUACCGGGAGAAUAAGCUCCGGCUAACUCCGUG